UGGGGAAUAUUGCACAAUGGGCGCAAGCCUGAUGCAGCCAUGCCGCGUGUGUGAAGAAGGCCUUCGGGUUGUAAAGCACUUUCAGCGGGGAGGAAGGCGUUAAGGUUAAUAACCUUGGCGAUUGACGUUACCCGCAGAAGAAGCACCGGCUAACUCCGUGCCAGCAGCCGCGGUAAUACGGAGGGUGCAAGCGUUAAUCGGAAUUACUGGGCGUAAAGCGCACGCAGGCGGUCUGUCAAGUCGGAUGUGAAAUCCCCGGGCUCAACCUGGGAACUGCAUUCGAAACUGGCAGGCUAGAGUCUUGUAGAGGGGGGUAGAAUUCCAGGUGUAGCGGUGGAAUGCGUAGGGAUCUGGAGGAAUACCGGUGGCGAAGGCGGCCCCCUGGACGAAGACUGACGCUCAGGUGCGAAAGCGUGGGGAGCAAACAGG
This 429-nucleotide ribosomal RNA is filed under the name Chloroflexota bacterium. RNAcentral describes it as "Chloroflexi bacterium partial 16S ribosomal RNA". It matches the Rfam family "Bacterial small subunit ribosomal RNA", at positions 355 to 776 of the family's 1533-position model. Lineage: Bacteria; Bacillati; Chloroflexota. The record is from RNAcentral.